This 465-nucleotide ribosomal RNA is filed under the name Vreelandella stevensii. RNAcentral's name for it is "partial 16S ribosomal RNA". It matches the Rfam family "Bacterial small subunit ribosomal RNA", at positions 338 to 795 of the family's 1533-position model. The record is from RNAcentral. Lineage: Bacteria; Pseudomonadati; Pseudomonadota; Gammaproteobacteria; Oceanospirillales; Halomonadaceae.
CCUACGGGUGGCUGCAGUGGGGAAUAUUGGACAAUGGGGGGAACCCUGAUCCAGCCAUGCCGCGUGUGUGAAGAAGGCCCUUGGGUUGUAAAGCACUUUCAGUGAGGAAGAACGCCUGGUGGUUAAUACCCAUCAGGAAAGACAUCACUCACAGAAGAAGCACCGGCUAACUCCGUGCCAGCAGCCGCGGUAAUACGGAGGGUGCGAGCGUUAAUCGGAAUUACUGGGCGUAAAGCGCGCGUAGGUGGCUUGAUAAGCCGGUUGUGAAAGCCCCGGGCUCAACCUGGGAACGGCAUCCGGAACUGUCAAGCUAGAGUGCAGGAGAGGAAGGUAGAAUUCCCGGUGUAGCGGUGAAAUGCGUAGAGAUCGGGAGGAAUACCAGUGGCGAAGGCGGCCUUCUGGACUGACACUGACACUGAGGUGCGAAAGCGUGGGUAGCAAACAGGAUUAGAUACCCCAGUAGUC